GCGCAAGUGGCGGAACGGCAGACGCGCUACAUUCAGGGUGUAGUGCCCGUACGGGCGUGAGGGUUCAAAUCCCUCCUUGCGCA
RNAcentral lists this transfer RNA (83 nucleotides) under Candidatus Chlorohelix allophototropha. Its description in RNAcentral is "tRNA-Leu". It matches the Rfam family "tRNA". Rfam says of the family: Transfer RNA (tRNA) molecules are approximately 80 nucleotides in length. Their secondary structure includes four short double-helical elements and three loops (D, anti-codon, and T loops). Lineage: Bacteria; Bacillati; Chloroflexota; Chloroflexia; Candidatus Chloroheliales; Candidatus Chloroheliaceae. RNAcentral also lists the same sequence under 1 other name. The record is from RNAcentral.